Long non-coding RNA from Falco peregrinus (peregrine falcon), 517 nucleotides. RefSeq lists it as uncharacterized. NCBI's taxonomy places the organism in Eukaryota, Metazoa, Chordata, Aves, Falconiformes, Falconidae. The transcript has 3 exons. The record is from RefSeq and is a predicted model, not a curated record.
GUGUGAAGCGUUUGCUGUCAGUCACCCCAGCUGAGCCCAGGCUCCAGGAGCCCUUGAUGCAGAUCGAUGUGGAGUGAAUGAGAACCACAUUAGAAGCAGCUGAGGAGUGAUGUGCAGCUGGCACUAAAAGGAAACCAGAAGAAGACAACUCAGGAGCAGAGCCCAGGGUGUAUAUUGAUGUUGAAAGCUCGUGACAGCCCUCAGCUUUCCACCUCUGUCUGCCGUACAAGCGCUAGUAUUCAAAAGGAGAGGCCCUGCACCAUCCUUUGCCUCACAAUGCCUCCAGCAUGGAAGCUUGAGGAUGUGUCAUCAGAAUGAAGGAAUGCAGCCAGCAAAGCCAGGCCUAAGGAAGAGAGAAGGCGGCGCGCAUGAAGAAGAGUAAGCAGGAUGAUGGCUCCUGGCCACACUGGGGUGAAGCCUCCUCUCUGCUUCUGCCCUGGCACAUGGCAACGAGCUAUCCAUGACUGCAGGAAGAGAGGACUUUGGAAGGUCGGGGACAGAUACUUGCCUUAUUGAG